Salvia miltiorrhiza (redroot sage) is the source of this 508-nucleotide long non-coding RNA. RefSeq lists it as uncharacterized. The transcript is spliced from 2 exons. The record is from RefSeq and is a predicted model, not a curated record. Lineage: Eukaryota; Viridiplantae; Streptophyta; Magnoliopsida; Lamiales; Lamiaceae.
AAAUCUAUUUACGAGGAUUAAUAGUAGAAUUCCCGAUUAUCGCUCAGAAGAUUAGUUCAUGCAUACCAGAUUCAUGCAUAGUUACAAUUACGCUUUCUCAUUAAUUAAGAAUUUUCCUCGAGGCAAUGUCUUAUUUUUAUAUUCUCGUGAUUAAGGUCAAGCGCAAGAAUAAGAACUACACAAGGAGUUAGAGUACCUUAGCAAAACUUUGCUAUCAGGUUGAGUUGUGAUGGGCGAUGAAGUGUUGCUGAGUGGAGUUUUUGUUGAACUUAAAGUAGGCUCAGAAAGGAUACAUGUCUUCAUACAUGUAUCUCAGUUAUGCAUUCUGCUGUAAACCCUGAUUAUUUCAGUUACGCCUUCCGUUGCAAACUCUGAUAAUAUUUUAGCCAAGCCCCUAACGAUGCCUUUUCCUUUUAAGGAAUAUAACGCGUAUAGAAAUUCUUUGAGUACCCUUUUUAUGCGAACUAUGCCUUGUUCGUUUGUAAGGAAUAUUUCACGCGUAUUCAAA